CCUUGUGGUCAAGUGGCAGUGGACGGGCCUGGGACGCCAACACGUUUCAGGUUCGAUCCUCCUGCUAUGCGAAACUAAGUCACAUUGUUCUGUUCACCUAACGCGGAUAUGGGUCCAUGCUUUAGGACCCAUUUGAAUGCCCAGGAGAAGGAGUCCAUCCGCGGGCUUGCGACUCCCCCGGGGGUUAGGUCUGGUUCCAAUAGUGACCCGGGUUUAACCCUUUUAGUUUCAAAAAAAAAAAAACACCACAUACGAUACGAUACGAUUCUCUGAGAGAGAAUAAGAAAGACGGAAGUUAGGUGAAGUCUUCGGUUCCUCAUCGUGUACGUGAGCACACUGGAACUUAACCCGGACGUAUUGCUUGUAAACUAAACCGGAUUUGAUAAUUGGCAUUCGGUCCGGUUACAAUCGAAUUAUCGAAAUCUCGAUGAUUUGAAAGGGCAGUAUCCGAUCCCUGGAUCGGCUGCUGUAUGGAGACUCUAUGCUCCGGCUUUGAUUAUAGUUUUCGGGUUGUGUGAUUUGAAUUUAGCUGCUGUUGAGAUGGAUUUGGUUGCUAGCUGCAAGGUAUUAGCUCGAUAUGUUUGCUUGAUACUGAAUAAUUUGAAAAUGCUUGAGCAGAGCUUUUGUUGUAGUAGUAAUUGACCUGAAGAUUGAUUUGCUAUGCUACUGAGUAGAAACUGGUGCUUUUAAAAAGUCUAUUUUGGUUAUAUGAAUUGUUAUUUGUUUA
Molecule: long non-coding RNA, 727 nt
Organism: Raphanus sativus (radish)
Lineage: Eukaryota; Viridiplantae; Streptophyta; Magnoliopsida; Brassicales; Brassicaceae
Exons: 2
Source: RefSeq, a predicted model, not a curated record